RNAcentral lists this ribosomal RNA (425 nucleotides) under uncultured bacterium. Its description in RNAcentral is "bacterial SSU rRNA". It matches the Rfam family "Bacterial small subunit ribosomal RNA", at positions 356 to 772 of the family's 1533-position model. The record is from RNAcentral.
GGGGAAUUGUUCGCAAUGGGCGCAAGCCUGACGACGCAACGCCGCGUGGAGGAUGAAGAUCUUCGGGUGGUAAACUCCUUUCGAUCGAGACGAACGGCCUCCGGGUGAACAAUCCGGGGGAGUGACGGUACCGCGAGAAGAAGCCCCGGCUAACUCCGUGCCAGCAGCCGCGGUAAUACGAAGGUGGCAAGCGUUACUCGGAAUUACUAGGCGUAAAGGGCAGGUAGGCGGUUUGGUAAGUCUGUUGUGAAAGCUCCUUGCUUAACGGGGAGAGGCCAACAGAUACUACCAGGCUUGAGUAUAGGAGAGGGUACUGGAAUUCCCGGUGUAGCGGUGAAAUGCGCAGAGAUCGGGAGGAACACCAAUGGCGAAAGCAGGUACCUGGACUAUUACUGACGCUCAGCUGCGAAAGCUAGGGGAGCAAA